This 71-nucleotide transfer RNA is filed under the name Silvestritermes holmgreni. Its description in RNAcentral is "tRNA-Ser". Lineage: Eukaryota; Metazoa; Arthropoda; Insecta; Blattodea; Termitidae. The record is from RNAcentral. RNAcentral also lists the same sequence under 1 other name.
AGUUAAAAAGCUAUAGAUAUGCCUAGUGUCUUGAAAACACUACGAAAGAAGUUCAAGUCUUCUAUUAACUU